AGAGUUAAAAAGUACGUGAAAUUGUUAAAAGGGAAACGCUUGAAAGCCAGUGACUUUUGAUAAUGGCCUGGGGAAUCAGUUGGUGGGGAGGGGGUUCCUUCUUCCUGCCGAUGCACUUACCCAGGUACAAGGCCAACAUCAGUUUCGUCUGCCGUAAAAAAGCCAAGAGAAGGUAGGUGUUAAUUCACUGUUAUAGCUCUGGCCGAUGCGGUGGAUGGGACUGAGGACUGCGGUGCAUGCCUUUGGCUGGGUUCGCGGCAGCUGUGUGGGACGGGGCUAUGGACAGCUUGCUGACUAUGGCUCUACUCUUAUGCAAUCUGUCGUACAACCACAAAUGCACCUAGGAUGUUGACGAAAUGGUUUUAAAUGACC
This 372-nucleotide ribosomal RNA is filed under the name uncultured fungus. RNAcentral's name for it is "eukaryotic LSU rRNA". The record is from RNAcentral. Lineage: Eukaryota; Fungi.